CUUCGUUUCGGCUCUGCAGAGCUGGAAAACAGAGGGGGAUUGUCCAGGGGUGGGGCUUUGAAAAGUUAUAGACCAUCAACUAUUAGACUCUACAUCUGGAAAUAACCGGCGAAGAACAUCACUCAAUAAUGCUGCGAAGAACAUCAGUCAAUAAUACUGCUUCGUUCCGGCUCUGUCCUGUCUUCCAAACCUUGAACCCUGGAAGAAAGUAGUCAGCAUCAUUCCAACGUUUUAAUAAUGUCAAUGAGAAGGGACCUUGUACAUCUCCUUGGGGAUCUAAAUAAUGCCAC
RNAcentral lists this long non-coding RNA (290 nucleotides) under Populus tremula. Its description in RNAcentral is "long non-coding RNA (PTRE_LNC002208)". Lineage: Eukaryota; Viridiplantae; Streptophyta; Magnoliopsida; Malpighiales; Salicaceae. The record is from RNAcentral.